CGAGUCGCAAAAUUCGCAGUUUUCCUUGAUCAGCCAUAAUACAGGCCGCAUCGUUAUUACCUCCGCAAUAUUUGGAUGACGAGAACACCGAACAAUUAGCGGAAAAUUCACUUGAAAGCCGGCUUGCGCCACUUCGUGAGCUCGUACCAAAUGGGUGAGCUGAUUGGCUUUUAGGAACCGUUCCAAUGCUUCAACACUAAAAAUAUGAGCGGUACCACGUCUGGUGUUCACGGCAAAUCCCUCAUUGGCCAGCAGUUCCAUUGCGAGUUUAUCAUUCACGGUUUUUGGCCUAAAACAGGAUGUUGAAUCUAGUUUCGUACGAAAAACGAAUCUCAAUGACAUGCAUUAAUAUAUAACAUUGUAUAUACUUUC
Molecule: long non-coding RNA, 372 nt
Organism: Dendroctonus ponderosae (mountain pine beetle)
Lineage: Eukaryota; Metazoa; Arthropoda; Insecta; Coleoptera; Curculionidae
Exons: 2
Source: RefSeq, a predicted model, not a curated record